This 78-nucleotide transfer RNA is filed under the name Shigella boydii CDC 3083-94. RNAcentral describes it as "tRNA-Val". It matches the Rfam family "tRNA". Rfam says of the family: Transfer RNA (tRNA) molecules are approximately 80 nucleotides in length. Their secondary structure includes four short double-helical elements and three loops (D, anti-codon, and T loops). Lineage: Bacteria; Pseudomonadati; Pseudomonadota; Gammaproteobacteria; Enterobacterales; Enterobacteriaceae. The record is from RNAcentral.
UGGGUGAUUAGCUCAGCUGGGAGAGCACCUCCCUUACAAGGAGGGGGUCGGCGGUUCGAUCCCGUCAUCACCCACCAG